UGGGGAAUAUUGGACAAUGGGGGAAACCCUGAUCCAGCAAUGCCGCGUGUGUGAAGAAGGCCUUCGGGUUGUAAAGCACUUUCAGUGGGGAGGAAGGGGUGUGUGCUAAUACCAUACAUCAUUGACGUUACCCACAGAAGAAGCACCGGCUAACUCUGUGCCAGCAGCCGCGGUAAUACAGAGGGUGCAAGCGUUAAUCGGAAUGACUGGGCGUAAAGCGUGUGUAGGUGGUUGGAUAAGUUAGAUGUGAAAUCCCCGGGCUUAACCUGGGAACUGCGUUUAAGACUGUUUAACUAGAGUACUGUAGAGGAUAGUGGAAUUUCCAGUGUAGCGGUGAAAUGCGUAGAUAUUGGAAGGAACACCAGUGGCGAAGGCGACUAUCUGGAUAGAUACUGACACUGAGACACGAAAGCGUGGGGAGCAAACAGGAUUAGAUACCCCUGUAGUCC
This 449-nucleotide ribosomal RNA is filed under the name uncultured bacterium. Its description in RNAcentral is "bacterial SSU rRNA". It matches the Rfam family "Bacterial small subunit ribosomal RNA", at positions 355 to 796 of the family's 1533-position model. The record is from RNAcentral.